AACGAACGCUGGCGGCGGGUCUUAACCAUGCAAGUCGAGCGGCAGCCUGCAAUUCCGAGAGCGGCGGACUGGUGAGUAACACGUGGAUAACGUACCCCGCGGUCUGGGACAGCCUGAAGAAAUAGAAGGUAGUACCGGAUAGAUCACUGUUUACGUUAGGGAGACAGCGGGAACGGAGCUUCGGCUACGCGACUGGAUCGGUCUGCGGCCCAUCAGCUGGACGGCGGGGGAAAGGCCGGACGUGGCGAGGACGGGAAUCCGGCCUGAGAGGGCGGACGGACACAUUGGGACUGAGAUACGGCACAGACUCCUACAGGAGGCAGCAGCUAAGAAUAUUACGCGAUGGGGGGAAGCGUGAUGGAGCGAAGCCGCGUGAACGAAGAAGGCCGCAAGGUUGGAGAGUUCUUUUCUGUCCGGGGAAUAAGUUUCGGAGGAAAUGCCGAGACGGUGACGGUAGCGCAAGAAUAAGCCCCGGCUAAUUACGUG
This 486-nucleotide ribosomal RNA is filed under the name uncultured bacterium. RNAcentral describes it as "partial 16S ribosomal RNA". It matches the Rfam family "Bacterial small subunit ribosomal RNA", at positions 29 to 507 of the family's 1533-position model. The record is from RNAcentral.